CUCUGAGUGGUGAUGGUCUUCUUGGCAGAGUUCUGAGAUGUCGCAGAGUAUGGAUUGGAAAGAGACAAGGAAACCACCUCUGUGCACAUCUGUGUUGAUUUAUGUUAGUUUGGAAAUGUCAGUGACUUUGCACUUUAACAUCAUGGAAGCCCUCAGAAAACAAGCUCAAGCCCAACAUAGAUAUGUGCUUUAUUAUGUUUCUUUCAGGUAUAAUGUGCAUUUGCCCCCUUCCACCAUCUCCUCCCCAUUCACCUACUAUGCCUUAGUUAGUAUUUCUGUUGCUGUGAUAAAACACUACAAGCAAAAUCAACUUGGGGAGGAAAGGGUUUACUUCAGUUUCCAGUUCCACAUCAUUGAGAGAAUUCAGGAAAGGAACUCAAGGCAUGAAUCUGGAGGGGAAAGUUGGAUGAAGAGGUGG
RNAcentral lists this long non-coding RNA (418 nucleotides) under Cricetulus griseus (Chinese hamster). Its description in RNAcentral is "lncRNA (ENSCGRG00015037525.1)". Lineage: Eukaryota; Metazoa; Chordata; Mammalia; Rodentia; Cricetidae. The record is from RNAcentral.